Molecule: long non-coding RNA, 384 nt
Organism: Magnolia sinica
Lineage: Eukaryota; Viridiplantae; Streptophyta; Magnoliopsida; Magnoliales; Magnoliaceae
Exons: 2
Source: RefSeq, a predicted model, not a curated record
UAUGGGUAAGUUGCUAGGAAAUUGAAAUCUGAGCCAUAAAACUAUAUGUUUGUCCACUUAAUGGAUUAGUGACUUCUAAUACUUCCAUUCUCUUUACACAGGCCAUCUAACUGGAGGAAAAAGCGAAUCCCUUUUCACGACUUCAUGUUGGGUGUCCAUAGUCGCCUUCAAUCGAUCACAAUGCAUCAUUAACAUGAGAGAUGCAUCAGAGUAGACUUCCUUUUUCUCUAUACAGGGUCCGUGUAAACUGGAGUAGACUUCUACAAGAAGUUGUGUGGAGUAUCCAUUAUUCAAAGGUGAGCUUUUAUGCAAGUAUUGAAUUUGGAUUUUUGGCAUUAAAAACUAAGCGAGUAUUUUGAGAUAAAUAUGAGAUUUUGUUUCAAA